GGCCAAUGUCACUGAGCUCCAUAGUUAGGUCGCUGAUCUCCAUACCAGAGAGUCGAACUGCAGCCAUAGUGUCAGGAAGCUCCUCUCUAGUAACAUCCAUUAGCUUCUCUAGUGACUCUGCAGCUCGCCUAAAAGCCAGAAGAGUUGGAAUUGCAGAAAAGAACAGCCAGGUUGCAGAAAUUGCAGCCACGCAAGCAAUGAAAUUGAGGAUAUGAAUAUGGCGAUGAGUGAGGGUCCACUGGGAGAGUUGAGGCGCCGACGAAGAUCCGACGGUGGAAUUCAAAUUAGAGAUAACCAACGGCUCAGAUGACGACGAAGCGGUUUCCGAUUGAACCGAAAGAGAUGCCAAUUGACGUUGACGCAAUCUGAUACUAAACCUCCGGCCGUAAACCAAGUUCCCGGCGGUUAGUUGAUCGAAUUUGUUGUCGAACAACGGCGACGAUGGCUGCAACUUCAG
Molecule: unclassified non-coding RNA, 457 nt
Filed under: Hevea brasiliensis (rubber tree)
Lineage: Eukaryota; Viridiplantae; Streptophyta; Magnoliopsida; Malpighiales; Euphorbiaceae
Source: RNAcentral